RNAcentral lists this ribosomal RNA (253 nucleotides) under uncultured bacterium. Its description in RNAcentral is "partial 16S ribosomal RNA". It matches the Rfam family "Bacterial small subunit ribosomal RNA", at positions 524 to 776 of the family's 1533-position model. The record is from RNAcentral.
CACGUAGGGCGCGAGCGUUGUCCGGAAUUAUUGGGCGUAAAGAGCUCGUAGGCGGCCUGUUGCGUCCGCUGUGAAAGCCCGGGGCUUAACCCCGGGUCGGCAGUGGAUACGGGCAGGCUAGAGGUAGGUAGGGGAGAAUGGAAUUCCCGGUGUAGCGGUGAGAUGCGCAGAUAUCGGGAGGAACACCGGUGGCGAAGGCGGUUCUCUGGGCCUUACCUGACGCUGAGGAGCGAAAGCGUGGGGAGCGAACAGG